This 422-nucleotide ribosomal RNA is filed under the name uncultured Succinivibrio sp. RNAcentral describes it as "bacterial SSU rRNA". It matches the Rfam family "Bacterial small subunit ribosomal RNA", at positions 355 to 794 of the family's 1533-position model. The record is from RNAcentral. Lineage: Bacteria; Pseudomonadati; Pseudomonadota; Gammaproteobacteria; Aeromonadales; Succinivibrionaceae.
UAGGGAAUAUUGCACAAUGGAGGAAACUCUGAUGCAGCCAUGCCGCGUGUGUGAAGAAGGCCUUCGGGUUGUAAAGCACUUUCAGAGGGGAGGAGAAUGACGUUACCCUCAGAAGAAGCACCGGCUAACUCCGUGCCAGCAGCCGCGGUAAUACGGAGGGUGCAAGCGUUAAUCGGAAUAACUGGGCGUAAAGGGCAUGCAGGCGGUUAUGCAAGCAGGAUGUGAAACCCCCGGGCUUAACCUGGGAACUGCAUUCUGAACUACAUGACUAGAGUAUUGCAGGGGGAGACGGAAUUCCAGGUGUAGCGGUGGAAUGCGUAGAUAUCUGGAAGAACACCAAAGGCGAAGGCAGUCUCCUGGGCAAAUACUGACGCUCAUAUGCGAAAGCGUGGGUAGCAAACAGGAUUAGAUACCCUGGUAGU